Marmota flaviventris (yellow-bellied marmot) is the source of this 205-nucleotide long non-coding RNA. RefSeq lists it as uncharacterized. The record is from RefSeq and is a predicted model, not a curated record. NCBI's taxonomy places the organism in Eukaryota, Metazoa, Chordata, Mammalia, Rodentia, Sciuridae.
CCUGGCCUUGGGAAAGUCACAUCUACUCUCUGACCCUCCGUUACCUCAUCUGCUCAGCAUUCACUCAUUCGUUCCUUGAGGUGGAUGCAGCUACUCGGAGGCUGAAACAGGAGGAUUGUACAUUUGAGGCCAAUCCUCAAAUUGAAGCAAUUUAGCAAGACCCCUGGCUAACAACAACAACAAAAAAGUUUGUGCUGGGGCUGUA